This 123-nucleotide ribosomal RNA is filed under the name Bradyrhizobium sp. S3.169. RNAcentral's name for it is "partial 23S ribosomal RNA". It matches the Rfam family "Bacterial large subunit ribosomal RNA", at positions 1 to 122 of the family's 2925-position model. The record is from RNAcentral. RNAcentral also lists the same sequence under 1 other name. Lineage: Bacteria; Pseudomonadati; Pseudomonadota; Alphaproteobacteria; Hyphomicrobiales; Nitrobacteraceae.
AAUCAAGUGCCUUAAGGGUGUUCGGUGGAUGCCUUGGCGCUGAGAGGCGAUGAAGGACGUGCUACGCUGCGAUAAGCCGUGGGGAGCUGCGAAGAAGCUUUGAUCCACGGAUUUCCGAAUGGG